CAUUAACACCUAACCAGAGGCUAAACAUCAGCACAUGUGCGACAAACUCGAAAAUGUGGCAUCUAAAAAGGACAAAAACAAAAAAUGGCCAGUACCCAUUUGUUGAAAUGAUGAAAUAAACCCUUCAAAUCACGCUAUCCCCAAUCAAGAGAAGCUUAAUCAAGCAAUCGUAAUCAGUACGAGCCCUUGCUGGUGGUGCGGCCAUCCUUUCUCCUCCAAAUCAAUUCAACCCACGAAUCAAAUUCCCUCUGUGCGCAAACAAAAACUACAGAAACAGAGAGAGAGCGACCUAUGUAAGAUCAAAAUCAGAGAGGGAGAGAGCAACCUUAGGUUUACCAAGCAAGAGAGAGCGA
Molecule: unclassified non-coding RNA, 353 nt
Filed under: Hevea brasiliensis (rubber tree)
Lineage: Eukaryota; Viridiplantae; Streptophyta; Magnoliopsida; Malpighiales; Euphorbiaceae
Source: RNAcentral